GUCCCCAACUCCGAAUGAGGAAAGGCUUCGCCCAGACUCCUACGGGAGCCGGACUCCGCCCAUGACUUGAGUUGCAGGUAAACUUCGUCCGGACUCCUACGGGAGCCGGACUUCAUCCCUGACUCUAAUUGUAGGUAUACUUCGUCCGGACUCCUACGGGAGCCGGACUUCACCCCUGACUGUGAUUACAGGUAGACUUCGCCCGAGCUCCUACGGGAGCC
Molecule: long non-coding RNA, 221 nt
Filed under: Elaeis guineensis (African oil palm)
Lineage: Eukaryota; Viridiplantae; Streptophyta; Magnoliopsida; Arecales; Arecaceae
Description: long non-coding RNA (EGUI_LNC062161)
Source: RNAcentral